Molecule: long non-coding RNA, 2359 nt
Organism: Corapipo altera (White-ruffed manakin)
Lineage: Eukaryota; Metazoa; Chordata; Aves; Passeriformes; Pipridae
Exons: 3
Source: RefSeq, a predicted model, not a curated record
CGCCGGUCCUUCCCGGUUCUCCCCGGUGUUCCUCGCGCGCUGUGCAGCGGCCCCAAGGCUCCCUCUUGUCGCGCUGUCCGCUCUGCGCGGCCCCAGCCGUUAGCCGAGCCGGCCCGCCUCGGGGAAAACCCGCUUGGGAAAGGACAAAAGCGCCGGGUGGGCAGGGGAGCGAGGGGGAAACCGCAAAGGGAGGAACGGCGGUGCGAGCGCCGAGGUGAGUGACCGCGGCGGGGGCUCGCAGGGCCGAGCAGGUGGAUGGUGUUCGUUGGAGGAACUGCGGCCUGUAGGAGGGACCCUGGAGCAGGGAAGCGGCGUGAGGAGCGGGACGGAGUGCGAGCGAGGAGUGGUUGUGGGCUGACCCCAACCCCCGUUCCUUCUUGUCGCUGGGCUGCUCCACGGGAGGAAGUGGAAGAGUUGGGAAUGAAGAUGAGCCUGGGAAAAAGGGAAUGUGUGGGGAAUGGCGAUGUUUUAAUUUUUGGUUUUGUUUCUUACUAUCGAAGUCUAUUUUAAUAGGCCAGAAAUACUAGACAUCUAUUUUAAUAGGCCCGGUUCCAGCCAUUAACAAGGUAAUUUUUGCGGUAGCCAGGACCCCUGGCAUGGCCAGGACGCCGAUGUUAUUUUAUACCACCUCACAAGGGGGGCAGCGAAAAAGGGAGUCCCUUCUGAGUUAGCGUAGCAAGGCAGAGGGAGCAAUCCAGUGUCUUUUUGCCUCUUUCUUGUACCCUCUGUCAUUAGUAUUGCUGCUGUUACUGUUUGGUAUUUUUAUCUCACUCCUGUUUCCAGUAAAUUGUUUUUAUCUCACCUUUUUCUGCCUCCAGCUCUCCUCACCAGCCAACUGCAGUGGGAAGGGGAGGGAGAACAGGGAAUGAGUGAGUGAGUGGCACAUGGCUUGGAGAGUCUCAGUGGGAGUACUAAACUGGGGAGUACCAUUUCCAAACCACAACAUGCCCCUGAUGGUAAUCGGAGGAAGAGGCUGGGAACAUGUGCACUGGAAAGAAGCUACAGCAUGGUUCAUCCAGAUUCCCAGUCUGUAGACCUGAGGGAUGAGGAAAGAAGAAAAUGCCAAGCAAAAAUCCUGCCUGUAACAUAUUCAGGAUCUGUGUUCGUUGUUACUAUUAUGUGGCUGGAAAAGUCACUAUUCCAGAGGAAAGCACUCUUUUGGCAAAACAAGCAGAGUUUGAACUAUUGCAAGGUCCACUCUUAAACAGAUUUUACUUAACGGCUCACAACAAGUGAAAAAUCAACAAGAAGGCUGCACAGAGGACAGAGUCAGGCCCUUUCCAGUGACAGGACCAGAGGCAACGGGCAUACACUGAAACACAGGAAGUUCUCUCUGAACAUCAGAAAACACUUUUUCAUUGUGAGGGUGACCGAGCACUUGCACAGGUUGCCAUGAGAGAUUAUGGAGUCUCCAUCCUUGGAGAUAUUCAAAAGCUGUCUGGACACGGUCCUGGGCAACUGGCUGUUGGGUGGCCAUGUUUGAGCAAGGGCGUUGGACAAGAUGACCUCCAGAGGUCCCUUCUAACCUCAGCCAUUCUGUAAUUGUGAAUGUAUAUGGCCCACAAAACUGCACAAGAAAGACCUGUAUUCUCACACCUGUGUGAUUUACUCUGGAUUUCCUAGAGGCACAUCACCUAAUUGUAAUUUAUCAAAUAGAAUUACUGCCCAAUAUAAAAGUUUACUUUAUGGACACAAAUGUCAAUUGUUGAUUUCUAGAAAGGCAAACCUCUAAAUUAAAGGUUUAAAAUUAAAAAGAAGUCAAGAAUCUAUUUCCAAUUUAAAAUCUGGUGGCUUUUACACUUUUCAGUGGUAUUAAAGGCUUUUCCUUUCUUCGGAAGCUGAGGGCACUAUAUAGACAUUUAAGAUUGCACAGGCAAGUGCACCUCAUGUCAUGACUGCAAUUAGCAGCAACUAUCCACCUGUCUCAAGAGUUUAACAAUGCAUGGAUUUUGCUAAUAUACUACAGGAUUUAUGCUUAUUCCCACUUGGGCAGAACAGGAAGGAAUUUUACCCUGCUCUUGGAUUAGCUAUGUGCAUUAUAUUUGCCUUAUCUACAACCAGACAUCCAGGGACCCAGUAGGGUAAACAGACUCAAAACAAACCACCUUAAUUACUGUGUCAUAAAGAUACCUGAGGCACAGGACGCUUGGAAAAGAGCUUGGCAGGCAGGGAGGCAAACUAUCAGCUACAACAGGACCCAGGAGAGAAAUCUGGGUUUGCUACAUGACAGAUCCAGCACAAAACACCAGCUCCUUGUCACUGCAGAAUCACAGCUGUCCACCUGUCCUCUGCAUCAGCUGUAGAAGAGCUGGGUAUGGUCAUGGCCCCCCAACAGAUGGAAACUUAUCAAGGAAGAAUC